GUCUUUCGAAGGCAAAGAAAACUCGUCGUUGAGGCCUUCGCGCCCUCGCGAAGCGCCGAAAAAGGCGAGAGGCGGCUCCCCCUCGACGUCGGAGGCCGCCGGACUUCCAGCCUCAAUGUCGGCAUCCUCGGGUGUAGUUCCACCCGAAAGCGAGGCUCCGGACUCGGGGCCGUCGAUCAGCCUAGGGCGGGGGCGCCCGACGACGGGAACCGAGGCGUUCUCUCCUGUCUCGCGUGCAUGUGCGGAGCCCAACGAGCUGGCGGCGCUUCUGUCAAAGCCUCUGCUUCCUCUCACUUCUUCUCUGCCCGUCCACUCUCGCGCGCGAGGAAGAGGCAGCCUGCCGCGAAGCUCGCGAGAGCGAGGCCAGCCAUGCGCCGAAAGGAAAGGCCCCGGUCUCAACGCCUCGUCUCCACUCUGCAGAGCCGACGCCCGCGGCAUACGGCGCGCUUGUCGGCGAAAUCUGCCGGCUGUGCGCGAUGCGAAAGACGCGUCCUCAGGUGUACGUACACCCGACGAGAAGAGGGGCGACGGCGCCAGGUCGUUUACGCCGGGGUCCUCGGUGUCGCGAGCCGCCAUGUCGGGAAAACUCUGGAAGUCUUCGCCUUCUUCAAAGAGCGAGUUGCCCGUCUUCCCCCAGUCGCGGUGCGCGUUCUCCGGCGAACGCGCAAAGGCAGGAAGAGAGGAGGACGACCUCUCAUCAGAUCCGAGUGCGAGAGGAAAGGGCAAAGAGCUGCGGCGCGUGUCUGGUUCUGGGCGAGACUUGGAAGCCGCGUCGGCGCAGGAAGAGGCAGGAGAGCAACCGGCAGACCCAGACAGAGAAGAAGCUGCGCGAGGAGACGGAGCAGAAGAUACGUGAGGAGACAGAGAGGAGACUCCGAGGGUGUGUCUGUCUCCGCCAGAAGAGAAAUGAGGAGACGCCGAGUCGUGAGACGUCCGCUUCAGUCCAGGACUCAGAAAUGCAGUCGCUGGAGACGAAGACCCGGCAGGCGACGAAGCAAGAGAAGGGCAACGCGAGGGAGUGCAGGCGAAAGAAGGCGAAGAGCAGUCACACGAAGAACCGUUUUCUGAGUUGAGAGCAGAGGGAGACCCGCCAGAGGCACCGCGAGAAGCAGUGACACUCGAAGAAGGAAGACUUGACGCGCGCAACGAGGCCUCCGAGGGGGGAAGCAGAGCAGAGGACUGCGGCAGAGACGGGAGAGAGACACAGACGGAGGCAGACGCACCGGGGCCUGAAAGACGUUCGACGGAAAUGGAAGUUCGAGAGGGCGUCCCCACUCGCACCGCGAGAGCCUCGACGCAGAGAGGCCCCGGGUGCGGCUUUCCCUCCUGGGAGAGAGACACGUAUCUCCCCACAAAGCAGCAAAGGAGAGACAGCACGACGAAGGCACCGCCUCGCCGCCUCCGUCCCCCUCGCCGCGCGACUGGAAGUCUCCCCGCCAUCCGAAAGAGACAGAUCGCGAACCUUCUUUCUCUUCGCCCAGAAGCGAUGCGGGAGAGGGACGGAAAGCAGAUCAAAGGGGGAAGAGAAGCAAGUCAAGGAGGAAAGCGAAGUUGGUCAAAGAAGGAAGAGAAGCUGAGAAGAAAGGCCCAGCAGGCCGAGGCGAAGACACACAAGGAAAAAGGAAGAAAGUACUUUACGGAUGUACAUGGCCAGUAUCAGCGAAGGAGAGGACCAAGACAGGGAGGGACUGACAGAGGAAGAAAAAAGACAGAGAGAAACAAAGAACGAAACAGACAAAGAAGGAGAAAAGCAGACAGAGAGGACGUAGAGGCCAGAGGAGUCUCGUGUGGACGAGACAGGCGAGACGGGAGACAGAGGCUCGCUGGUCGUCCAGGAGCCCCUGCGAGUCUUCAAGUUUGAAUUUACCAGUUCGGCGGAUAAGAAUGGCAGACACAGAAAACCGACGAGCGGAGAGGUUCCAAGAAAAGGAUAGCGGCUGGGAGAAAAGGAGCGACGAAAAAAAGCGAGAUGAAGAAGUGCAGUUUCCCCUGAGGUUGAGUGCACACUGGGGGCGCCGGAGGAGGUAUGGGCAUGAGAGGAGAAGGUCGAAGCCUCCAAGAAAGUUCUUUUCAAAGCCCCGAAUCUGCAUCGAAGCCACACACAAAGUGACGGCAUUCGCCGGCGUUUUUUCUCGCUUUUUCCAGAGGCGCGGGAAACGCGGUGUGCAGGGUGUCCAGACACCCGAGGAGCCCGCGAACUGGGGGGGACAGGCGGCGCCGCGGGGGGCGGACGAGGAGAGCGUUCUGCUCAAGACACAAUUGCUGAGCUCGAAGUGAACUGCAGAAGAGUUUCGAGAACCUUCGAUAAAAAUAACGCUUUCAGAGUGCUUCAAUGCCCGACAACUCUCUUCUUCCUCCCCUGCGAACGUUUCUUUUUUGGAAGCUCAGUACGUUUUCAGAGCCGGUCUGUUCUCUUGAGUUCUCUCCUGCGCUGGCGCGAGACCUGCGGGAACAUAUGCGUUUCGCAGGUGACAAGAAGACGCCUGGAGAGAGGCCAGCGGUCGCCAUGAAUUAGUGAAACAUAAUAGACAAGCAAAAGAGAGCGAGAACUGCGAGAGGAAGGGAGACGGAGAGGAGCAGGAACGGGAGAGAGAAAACUGCAAGAGAGGCAGAGAUGCAGACAACAGAAGAAUCUUCAUGGUGAGGAGCGGAAAGCCGAGAGAGAGGAGAACAGAGAGAAGAAAGGAGACUCAGAAGAAUGGAGAGAAGAAAGGAGAGAGAGGAUAGCAGAGAGAAGAAGGCAGAGAAGGGAGACAAGAAGAGAGACGAGAGGGGAGAGAGGGAGACAAGCAAGAAGAUGGCAAGCGAGGUGAGGAAGCGGGAGUGAAGAUGAGACGAUUCAUGAGGAGGAAACUGGAGAAGGACGAAUUCGACGUUUCAUCGGAGACAGGAAAGAGCGGGAGAAAGGCCCAUUGAAAUGGAAUGACGAAAAGAAACAGUCUGGGUUUUCAUUGAAAGCGAAAGGAUUGAAAGAGUCGGGGGAGGGAAGGAGAAAAGAGUCUUGAGGUCACGAAAUCUCGCAGGACGAAUUUCUUUGCGACAGAGACAGCAGGACCGAGAUCCUCACUUCUGACUCUUUCUCGCGGUUCCAAGACCUCAUGCAGUUUGUAGAAGCCAGAUAAACUUCACUAGUGUCUAAGAAACCAGCGUUGUGUGUCUGCCCACCCUUUUUUCUGUGGCUUUUUUCACCCUAUACUUAUUUCUCAUCUCUCUUUUUUUGUCUUGCGCUCAUCCCAUUUCUCGCUCUCUGUCGCUCCUCCCGUCUCUUCUCCUCUGUCUGUCCGUCUCUCUUCUUCGCGCGGGGAGGUAGUUUCGAGAAAUUCAGAGCGCCUCGCGACGGAGUCACUCCAUUGUCCUCCCUCAACCUCACUAGACAUGUCACUUGUUUGGUUCGAUCCUCGUUCAAAAGGUCCGAGGUGAGCUGGACCUGCAUCUCCCGCUCUCUAGUCCUCAACCUUGACAGUGUUUGCCAAGUCUACUGUACAAACAGAGGGGUGGAAAAAGCAGGCUUGGUGUCUUCUCAUGCGUUGUCUUUUGUGUCUCUGUGGGAGUCGACGCUCUCUUUUUAAGACUGAAGCCAGCAGGAGCCGAUCGCUUAUCGCGACUCGCAGGACCUGCGUUUCCUCUAUCUGCAAUCCCUCUUCCGAGGUGGAUGUGCACCCGGUCCUCGGAUGGAUUCUCUUGUCUGUGGCUCGUGAAGGGGCGACCCUCAGUGUGAAAGCGCCAAGUCCUCUUUUGACGUUUCGCGCUCUUUUUCGUUCCCUGUUUCGCUUGUGGUCAAAGGCCAAGUGGGUGGCAACCAGCCAUGAAGUGAUCGCGUGUCUGUCCGGAAAAUCCCAGUAAAGCUCAG
Molecule: long non-coding RNA, 3850 nt
Filed under: Toxoplasma gondii VEG
Lineage: Eukaryota; Apicomplexa; Conoidasida; Eucoccidiorida; Sarcocystidae
Source: RNAcentral